Manis pentadactyla (Chinese pangolin) is the source of this 1156-nucleotide long non-coding RNA. RefSeq lists it as uncharacterized. The record is from RefSeq and is a predicted model, not a curated record. Lineage: Eukaryota; Metazoa; Chordata; Mammalia; Pholidota; Manidae. The transcript is spliced from 4 exons.
AGCUAAAAUAAAUUUUAUUUUCUCCUCUUUUUUCCUGCAAAUGUUACCUUUAUUACAAAAUCCUAUCCUGCUGUUUCAGAACACACUCAUUUUUCCAUUCUUUCAUUCAUUCAACAAAUAUUUCUUGAAUACAUAUUAUUGCCAGGCAAGUGAAUAAGAUUAACAAAAGUCUCUGUCAUCAUGGAACAAUAAAGGGUGUAGGAAAUAAUAACAUAAUAAACCUAACUGUAAAAUAUAUUUUUAGAUAUUGAUUAUCAUGCUAAGGGAAAUUAGAGUAAUCAGAAUGGUUUAAUAGACUUUAACAAUACCUGUCAAUUCCAAUCCAUGGCACUUUAAAAUAUUGUUAGCUGGAUUGUUAGCUGGAUUCAUGUGUAUAUAGCUUGCCUUCAUAAUGAAAACAUAAUAUCAAAGAAACUGAUUAAAUUCAUAUCUGAAAUAUAAUAAGCAGAGCAUUAAGAAAGAAGAAAGCUAUUCCAACUUUGUCCCUUUUCCCCAUAAGAUGACUUGCAAUUGCCAGGAGAAAGCAUAACAUUUUCUUUUACAUGAAUUCUGCCUCAUCUAAGUUUUGUCAUCACUGGAAAUGUUUUUUAAAGAGAACGUCAAAUCCAGAAGGAGUUUAGUGAGCUGUUCUGGGGGUUCAGGACCACCCCGUCCUGUGUAUGGGAAGUACUCUUGAAAUUAUUAGGAAAAUUGGAUAUGGACAAGACUUGUGAUAUUGAUACAAGGAUAUGUCAGCAAUUUACAGUCCAGGAGAGAGCUCACCAGAACCUGACCAUGCUGUCGUCCUGAUCUCGGCAUCCAGGCUCCAGAAAUGUGAGAAUAAAUUUCUAUUGUUUAUAAACUACACAGUUUAUGGUACUUUAUUAUAUAGCAGCCAAAACUAAGACACUGAGCAUGUGAAUUUGGGACAUUCUAGAGCUACCUUAAGGCUCCAUGAGGAAAACAAACCCAGACAUAGAGAGUACAGAUUCCUGAUGUUGUUUGAAAUCUUGGGCCACUCAGUGAUGAGAACCAAAUUUCACCUGAAUUUGUCAAUUAUGUAAUUAUGUAAUUAUAUUGACUAUGCAGGUUUUAUUUUAGUCCAUUAGCUUGCAACUGAAUGAGUCCUUAUUAAUCCUGUCUUAAAUAAGACUCAUUAGUUUAGGAACAAAGUAUU